Molecule: ribosomal RNA, 253 nt
Filed under: uncultured bacterium
Lineage: Bacteria
Description: partial 16S ribosomal RNA
Rfam family: Bacterial small subunit ribosomal RNA
Source: RNAcentral
UACGUAGGGGACAAGCGUUGUCCGGAAUUAUUGGGCGUAAAGCGCGUGUAGGCGGCCAAGUAAGUCUUGCGUGAAAUCCUGAGGCUCAACCUCAGGCCUGCGCGGGAUACUGCUUGGCUAGAGUCCGGAAGAGGAGAGUGGAAUUCCUGGUGUAGCGGUGGAAUGCGCAGAUAUCAGGAGGAACAUCCGUGGCGAAGGCGGCUCUCUGGGACGGUACUGACGCUGAGACGCGAAAGCGUGGGGAGCGAACAGG